Triticum dicoccoides is the source of this 1071-nucleotide long non-coding RNA. RefSeq lists it as uncharacterized. The record is from RefSeq and is a predicted model, not a curated record. NCBI's taxonomy places the organism in Eukaryota, Viridiplantae, Streptophyta, Magnoliopsida, Poales, Poaceae. The transcript is spliced from 3 exons.
UUUCCCAUUCUUCCUUGGUCGCCAGCUCCCUCUCCCUACCGCCAACCAGAGGUUCGCAACCCCUGCUCUUCCCCGCCUUUUCGACGAAUCCGGUCGCCUAAGUGGCCGAGGAGGUCCCUGAGCCUGGCAUGCUCGCGAGCAUCCCAGCGUUAGGCUCUGUCGGAGGUGCGACACCUCCAUGCCCGUGCUCUUCUCCGUCCUUCGAAUCCGUUGGCCGAAGUGCCCAAGGAUGGGCUCGAGCUCGGCAUGCUCACGGGCGACCCAACGCGGAGGCCCGCAACAAGACAACAAGGAGCGGGGCGUGGGUGCGCAAAAACAUCUGGGCACAGUUCGAUGCCUCCACUGGUGUGCCUCUGUUUGAUGUUCUAUUCAAGAUUCCUGUACAGUUGCGUUAUUCAAGAUACAAUGGCACUCGAUGAUGCUUGCUAACAAGGUCUGCAAUGCAAUAUGCACUGGACUGUUGCUUGCCAGAUGACUGGAAGACGGAUAAAUUUGCUUGCAAGGCUCUUGAUGAUAUAUCCAUUUUCAUCAAAUUCUUAAGGGUAUGGUCAAUUGGAGAAGACAUUACUAUGACUACAAAGAUCUAUUUUUCAGGUGAUGAAUUGUAACCUUAUAUUCUUUAUUACUUGGAAUUGAAAAUCACUGAAAACAAUCCAUAAUUACUUUGGAGAGAAUAUUUUAUUCUUUUCUGUCUUGCUCUUGUUCAGCGUAGGAUGCAUAUCAAUUAUCACUAUCAUGGUAUAUUAUUGCCAUUGAGGAAUCUUCCCAUGUAGCAAAUUUACCUCGAAAGUACAAAACUUUGGCAGAUCACCAUCAGGUGCAGACAGGUACGUACAAUUAUACAAAAUUUAUGAUAAUUCAAGGCACUUCACGCCCAGGAAAGCAACAUUCAGGCAAGUCUCCAUCACUACAACUACAUCCACCAAGUUAAAGAAAAGGUUCCCAAGUCACCUCAAUAGCAAACUCAAAGGAAAAUAAUGGAUUCACACAGCUUUAAAGUAGGCAUUUCUGAAAAUAAAAUCAAAAUUGAAUUAGAACACAACUUACAAAAUUAAGGCUAUUGGGAAACAU